CAGCCCUCCUGCACAAGUAACUUACAACCUUUCCUGCACCCAGCUAUCACCAGACACCUCAGGCAAGAAGAACCUCUCAGGUGGUUACACAUCCUCCUGCUCUCCUUUCCAAGCUAGCUGCUGCUGAAGAAGAACUAGAGGCAAAGCUGAGUGCCCUGGUGGAGGGGAGGACAGCUGCUUGCACUCAGAAGCCUGCACAGAUACAGAGAGGUCAGCCACCAUGGGAGUAGGGAUGAGAAAUUCUGUCCUGCCAAAACCCCCACCAACCCAAAGACAAAAGGAAAAGUUUGGCUGCCACGAGGAAGGACAGAUAUGCUGAGAAAUUCCAUCCCCAAGACCCAGGAGCAAAAAACUUGCCUGAGACAGAGACUAGCCCUGAAGAAAUGGAAUACCAUGCCUCUGUCAGAGGCAGGUGAACCAGAGCAACUCCAUCUUGAAUAGGAACUGGGUAAAAUGAGGCUGAGACCUACUGGGUGCAUUCUCAGAUGGUUAAGGCAUUCUAAGUCACAGGAUGAAAUAGAAGGUCGGCACAAGAUACAGGUCAUAAAGACCUUGCUGAUGAAACAGGUUUUGUAGCAGGACAAGCCGCAGACACAACCCCUCAGACACUGAGUUAAAGAAGAAAGGGCUUUAUUCAGCCAGGAGCUUCAGCAAGACUCACGUCUCCAACAACCGAGCUCUCUGAGUCAGCAAUUCCUGUCCCUUUUAAGAGCUCACAAUUCUAAGCGGGUCUGCAUGAGAGGGUCGUGAUUGAUUGAGCAAGCAGAGGGUACGUGACUGGGGGCUGCAUGCACCGGUAAUUAGAAUGGAACAGGACAGGGAUUUUCACAGUGCUUUUCUAUACAAUAGCUGUAAUCUAUAGAUAACAUAACCAAUUAGGUCAGGGGUCAAUCUUUAACAACCAGGCCCAGUGUGUGGCACUGGGCUGUCUUUUAGAAAUGAAAUGUGGAUUUCAUUUCUGCCUUUUAGUUUUUACUUCUUCUUUCUUUGGAGGCAGAAAUUGGGCAUAAGACAAUAUGAAGGGUGGUCUCCUCCCUUAGUUUCAGUAAAGAAGCCGGCCAAAACCCACCAAAACCAAGAUGGUGAAGAGAGUGACCUCUGGUCGUCCUCACUGCUACACUCCCACCAGCGCCAUGACAGUUUACAAAUGCCAUGGCAACGUCAGGAAAUUACGCUAUAUGGUCUAAAAAGAGGAGGCAUGAAUAAUCCACCCCUUGUUUAGCAUGUCAUCAAGAAACAACCAUAAAAAUGGUCAACCAGCCACCCUCAGGGCUGCUUUGUCUAUGGAAAGGCCAUUAUUUUAUUUCUUUAUUUUCCUAAUAAACUUG
RNAcentral lists this long non-coding RNA (1328 nucleotides) under Homo sapiens (human). Its description in RNAcentral is "HSALNT0126480". Lineage: Eukaryota; Metazoa; Chordata; Mammalia; Primates; Hominidae. The record is from RNAcentral.